GAUGAACGCUGGCGGCGUGCCUAAUACAUGCAAGUCGAGCGAACGGACGAGAAGCUUGCUUCUCUGAUGUUAGCGGCGGACGGGUGAGUAACACGUGGAUAACCUACCUAUAAGACUGGGAUAACUUCGGGAAACCGGAGCUAAUACCGGAUAAUAUUUUGAACCGCAUGGUUCAAAAGUGAAAGACGGUCUUGCUGUCACUUAUAGAUGGAUCCGCGCUGCAUUAGCUAGUUGGUAAGGUAACGGCUUACCAAGGCAACGAUGCAUAGCCGACCUGAGAGGGUGAUCGGCCACACUGGAACUGAGACACGGUCCAGACUCCUACGGGAGGCAGCAGUAGGGAAUCUUCCGCAAUGGGCGAAAGCCUGACGGAGCAACGCCGCGUGAGUGAUGAAGGUCUUCGGAUCGUAAAACUCUGUUAUUAGGGAAGAACAUAUGUGUAAGUAACUGUGCACAUCUUGACGGUACCUAAUCAGAAAGCCACGGCUAACUACGUGCCAGCAGCCGCGGUAAUACGUAGGUGGCAAGCGUUAUCCGGAAUUAUUGGGCGUAAAGCGCGCGUAGGCGGUUUUUUAGUCUGAUGUGAAAGCCCACGGCUCAACCGUGGAGGGUCAUUGGAAACUGGAAAACUUGAGUGCAGAAGAGGAAAGUGGAAUUCCAUGUGUAGCGGUGAAAUGCGCAGAGAUAUGGAGGAACACCAGUGGCGAAGGCGACUUUCUGGUCUGUAACUGACGCUGAUGUGCGAAAGCGUGGGGAUCAAACAGGAUUAGAUACCCUGGUAGUCCACGCCGUAAACGAUGAGUGCUAAGUGUUAGGGGGUUUCCGCCCCUUAGUGCUGCAGCUAACGCAUUAAGCACUCCGCCUGGGGAGUACGACCGCAAGGUUGAAACUCAAAGGAAUUGACGGGGACCCGCACAAGCGGUGGAGCAUGUGGUUUAAUUCGAAGCAACGCGAAGAACCUUACCAAAUCUUGGCAUCCUUUGACAACUCUAGAGAUAGAGCCUUCCCCUUCGGGGGACAAAGUGACAGGUGGUGCAUGGUUGUCGUCAGCUCGUGUCGUGAGAUGUUGGGUUAAGUCCCGCAACGAGCGCAACCCUUAAGCUUAGUUGCCAUCAUUAAGUUGGGCACUCUAAGUUGACUGCCGGUGACAAACCGGAGGAAGGUGGGGAUGACGUCAAAUCAUCAUGCCCCUUAUGAUUUGGGCUACACACGUGCUACAAUGGACAAUACAAAGGGCAGCGAAACCGCGAGGUCAAGCAAAUCCCAUAAAGUUGUUCUCAGUUCGGAUUGUAGUCUGCAACUCGACUACAUGAAGCUGGAAUCGCUAGUAAUCGUAGAUCAGCAUGCUACGGUGAAUACGUUCCCGGGUCU
This 1371-nucleotide ribosomal RNA is filed under the name uncultured bacterium. Its description in RNAcentral is "bacterial SSU rRNA". It matches the Rfam family "Bacterial small subunit ribosomal RNA", at positions 28 to 1381 of the family's 1533-position model. The record is from RNAcentral.